UAUACAUAAUUAAUUAAGCACAAUUGAUAGAAUAACGAAUUUGAAAUAUUUCAAGUGUGUCCACCACCGUAUUCCCUUUUUCUAUAGGACUACAAACACAGCAACCAAAUUUACAAAAAAAAAAAAAACUGGCUAAACAUACAAGAAUGAAGAACAAACUUCCACCCCACACGAAACCAGGACACAACAUACAGCAAAGGAAAUCUUGACAUCCUGAGAAAACCAUAAGAUUUGAGUCAGUAUAAUACAAGCAGUUAUGCUACUGGUGUAUGAUUUGACCAUCAGUUGUAAAUUCUUACAUUUACCGAGGUGGUCGAAUUGGCCCUGGAGGCUCUAUAGGUGGUGUAUGUGGGAUGUUAUUGUUGUGAGGAGGUUGGUCAGGAUGAGAGAUAGGACUUGUUCCUUGGGUUAGUUUUCUGUGUCUAGGUCGCAGUUGGUUGGAUCCACCGGGUAGACCGUGAUUGAAACCAAUAGGUUUGAUCUGUGGAGCAUUAAUGGUCGGUGGCUGGUAACUGAUCAGACCAUUGGGUUGCGCAUGUCGUUGAUGCUUUGGAUUCCCUGCAGCAAUAUUGGUGAUGAGAGUAACUGCAAGUAACAAUACUAGCACGAAAAACUCAUAAUAAGACAUCUUUCCACCCUUGUUUCUCAUCACCGGUAUGGCGGUAUAUACAUGACACAAACAAUACAAUUAGUGUAUACCAGGUUAUAUAUACGCGUAAACAAAUCUGCUAUUAAUUAUCAAGAAGUCCCAGCUCAACUAGUAAAAUGUCAAAAUUGUUAGGUCGAAUUGAGUUCGAACCCUGGUACCUCCACUUGUGUGUGUGAGUUUAUAAUGACUUUGCUAUUUCAUCUA
RNAcentral lists this long non-coding RNA (853 nucleotides) under Medicago truncatula (barrel medic). RNAcentral's name for it is "lncRNA gene9868". The record is from RNAcentral. Lineage: Eukaryota; Viridiplantae; Streptophyta; Magnoliopsida; Fabales; Fabaceae.